Molecule: long non-coding RNA, 11234 nt
Organism: Diospyros lotus (date-plum)
Lineage: Eukaryota; Viridiplantae; Streptophyta; Magnoliopsida; Ericales; Ebenaceae
Exons: 4
Source: RefSeq, a predicted model, not a curated record
AUAUUAUGCAUAAAUAUAUCAAAUCUGUUCCUCAUAAUGAAUUUUUCGGACUCUGAAUUUGAGAUUAUGUUUGUGGGUGAAUUCUGGUAGCAUGAUCUUUUUAGUAGGUGAGUCCAUACUCUAUUUUUUAAAUCACUGGUUUCGAUUUACUGAAUCAUAUAUUGUUGGUCAUUCUUGAAAGAUUCAAUUAUCUAAGUUGCAUUUGUGGGUGUCAUGACCCAGGAGGAAUUAGAGGGGCAAUGCUGCCAUUAGUUACAAUUGUUGGUUAGGAGAUGCUAUUCAUUCUAUUAUAGUGCACAUGGGUGCUGUUCUACAAUAUUCUAUUACUUGAACAGCCUAUAAAUAGGCCAUAGCAUGUAGAGAAAUGUAUGCUGAAACAAUAUAGUGAAUUCAUAUUUUCCCUCCAUAUUUUCUCCCUCUCAUUCUUCCUAGUUCUCUCUCAUUUCUCUUGAUUUCUGCUCUAUCUCCCUCUAAUUCUCCUCCCUUUCCCUCCCAAAUCCUUCCUAGACCCUAGCUAAACCUUAGGGUCGUGACAUUUGGUAUCAGAGCUAACGAUUCUUGGCUGAGAUUCCGACGAAACUGGUAGUUCGAUCACUAUAAGUUGGUCACUGGAAGCACAUUCUGACAAACCAGGCGAUUUCCAGUGCUUGGGAAGCCACAACAGAGGUGAUCAAGGUCGACACAGGACCGAUUGAAUCCUAGCAAGAGGAGGUCAUUCCUCUGCUAUUAGUCGAAAUAACGCAUGCAGCGUUUGAUCUUAAUCUGAGCGGAACCAAGAUGAUUCCAAAUUUCAGGCGAUAGAUUACGGCACUGACCGAGUGCAGUAGGCGUUUCCGGAAGUGGUGGUAGAAUUGAUCGAACAACUGAGUCGAUCAAUUAUAGAAGGUGGAGGUUCAGGUAGAGCGGACGGAAUUCAGGCGCAUUCAGUCCAAUGAUUCCGACGAAGGAGUGGCUUCUGAUUUGAGAAAUCCAGGAAGUAUUGUUCGAUCAAGGAAGGCGUAGCAGUUAGCCAAGGCGCUUCAGUGCCAACGAUUUUUGGCAAAUUGUAGGAGAGGCCAAUUCUGUAAUCCGAUUCGACUUGAGUUUUGAAGGUGAAGUUGGCGAUGAUUGGGUGAGAAGGAAGACGCGAUUUAGGAAGUGGAGUAGAGGCGAAUUCAGAUCUGAUGGUCCUCAGCAGAUCAAUGAGGGUCGAAAUUGCAGGCAACGCGAGGCGAGCGACUCUCGAAACCCGUCUGGGUCACUGUAUGUGACCGAGGUGGGAAGGAAGGCGCGAUUGAAAACGGUUCAGAAGUUAAUUCCGCAAGCAACGAUUCUCAAUUGCCUUGAUUUCGUUUGUGAUUCUCAACUCAGAUUUGGAAGUUGAGCGAGAGGUCUGGGCAAGCGUGGAACUGAGAUUCCAGGCGUAAGGAAGGCUGUCAAUUACGGAUCAAUUGCUAGGAGCGAAACAAGGUUAGGCAAUUCAGGCAAUCCAGAAGCUAAAGGCGAAGCAGGUGGUAGCCUCGUGGCUGGAAACUCGGCUGUGGAAAUGGAUAGCAACAAUUCGAUUGUGAUUCCAGCAGCUUCUUGCGCUGAGACUCGGAAUUGUUGAAGGUGCAAUCAAUCAGCUGCACCUCGGUUGCUGCUUGGGAGUAAAGCAAAUCAGAAUAGGGCUGAUCGAGGCCGAUUUGUGAGGUUCCAGUGACGGAAUGCUGGUGAAGUUGGAAGCGGUGAGUAGGCAAACUUGAAGGCCAAACAAAUUCGAUCCUCGAUUGCUAAAGUGAGGUUGAGGCGAGAAGGAAGCUUCGGUCGGAAGUGGAUAUUGAGUAAUCGCUGCGCAUUGGAGUGCGAUUUAAUCCGGAGAAAUUCUCAGCUGACUUGAUGGAAUUAAUCGAGCAGUUCCUUGGCCGCUGACUCUUGUUUGAGUUAAUCAAGUAGAUCCAAAUCCAGAUCUCAGUGGAUUUCGUUUGAGGCAGAAUUAGGUUAGCUGAACUUGAAGCUGCUAUGGUUGCGGAUUUGGAAGCGAUCGAUUAACAGUAGGUCUUGGCGAUUUAUCAAAGCUAUUUCAAUGACUGAAUUCCGAUGAAUUUGGAGGCCCAACAGAUUGAAUCAAGCUUCGGGAGUAAUUGCGUAGCAGAAGUUGUGGUUUUAGAGUGCGUAGCGGAAGUGUGGGUUUCAAAAGUUGCGGAUAGAUUUCCAAAGCUGAUCAGAACAGGUUAUGUUCUGAAAUUAUCCAGAACCAGCAGAUUGUUUGAAGGGUAAUUGAUUUGGAGGCCAUCAUCAGCAACUAAAGACUGAUUUGGACCUAGCCUUGUGUGAAUCUAGGGUUGCUGAAUUUGAGUACUGGAAUAAGUUUCCGAAGUGGUCAUUGGAAGCUGAUCAGCAGGCUGUUGUAGUGGUGAAUUUUUAAGGAAUUCAACUGAGGAGAUGGCCGAAGGACUAUGUGCUGCAACUGCUGCAACAAGAAAAGAAAUCAAGGACCUUAGUAGACAGUUGAAUGAUUUUUUGAUCCUAUUUUCAUACAAAUUCUAGGUUAGUAUUCCAGCUGAAUGUUUUUCAAAAGAAUAUUCUGCCUACCUAAGUCAAAUUGGAGAUGAGAGUUGCAACGAAAAGUAUGCGCUACAGCCCAAAUGUUAUAAUAAAAGCAGCCGACAGAUUGGAGGAAUUCCUAAGGCUGAUGUGUCCCUAAGAUUAGGAAUGGAUGAUACAGAGGAGGAAAACUUGAGGCGAAGAGUUGGAGAAACUCACUCCACACCCCCAGGCUUGCGGAUGGACAUUCCUGCAUUUGAAAGAGAUAGGCCUAAAUGGUGGAUUAGGCAGUGUGAACGAGCGUUCUACCAAUACCGAGUAGCUGAAGGGGAGAAAGUGAAAAGGGCUGUAGCUUAUUUGGAUGGUGUUGCAGACGCUUGGUUCCAGAAUUGGAGUUGGGGAAAGGUAGAAUGGAGUUGGCCAUAGUUUGUAAAUGCCUUGUGUACUCAGUUUGGAGAAAGGCCCAAAACUAAUGUUGUCAUAGGAGUUCCUAAGGCUGCUCAUCAAGAAGUGCAGGGAGUUGAUAUAGUAGCCAUGGAAGAGGAAGGUGGUGUUCAUACAACUAAGGAGGAGUAUGAGGCUGAUGAGGUACUAAGAACGAGAAUGGUAGCUGCAAGGAAGGAGGACAACCCUGCUGAUCUUAUUGAUCUCCAGAAGCAACAGAGGAAGGAGCUUGAAAAGUCUCUUUACCAAGUACUUGAGGAGAAGGAGGACAGGAUUGCACCGGGCACCUUGUUUGGAACAUCUCAUACGUAUGUCUUUGGCACGGACACACAAAACAGGACAAUAGCUGCAAAAAAGGUUGAUUUGCUUAAAGAGAAGUUUAAAUUUCUUCUUAUGCUAGGAAAUGAGAUGGUUACCGGAUUGACAGCUCCAUUGGAGCCAUUUUCAAUUGCAAUAAGGAAGAGGUGGAUGGUUGGACUUGGGCUUGCCGCUAGUCGUAGUUCGGUUAAGAAAGAAGGAAAGAGAAAGCAAAAGAAAAGGGUAAUGCGAGAGGAGAACAAGAAAAGGCGAAGAAGAAACCAGUUGGUAAAUAUGGGCAUCAGAUGAAUAACAACGGUUCAAUGGUAAUAAGUUUCUUGGGGAUAAGAAACCUUUCAAGGAGGGGAAAUUGUCUUGACCCAGGAGGAAUUAGAGGGGCAAUGCUGCCAUUAGUUACAAUUGUUGGUUAGGAGAUGCUAUUCAUUCUGUUAUAGUGCACAUGGGUGCUGUUCUACAAUAUUCUAUUACUUGAACAGCCUAUAAAUAGGCCAUAACAUGUAGAGAAAUGUAUGUUGAAACAAUAUAGUGAAUUCAUAUUUUCCCUCCAUAUUUUCUCCCUCUCAUUCUUCCUAGUUCUCUCUCAUUUCUCUUGAUUUCUGCUCUAUAUCUCCCUCUAAUUCUCCUCCAUUUCCCUCCCAAAUCCUUCCUAAUUCCUUCCUAGACCCUAGCUAAACCUUAGGGUCGUGACAGUGGGUUAUUGUUAUGUUUCUAGCAUGAGUUGCAAUUGAUGGCCAAAUAUACUAAGGUCUUGAUAAUCCCUUGGUUUCACUAACUUAAUAUUUGAAAUUGAAGCUAAUUUAAAAAUCUAAUCAUUUAUAGCUUCUUAUUAGAACUGUAGAUAAUUAAGAAUGUUUGAAUUCUUUACUCUUGAGAAUAAUGAGUAUUUUUUUCUAUAAGUGGGAAUAAUAUGAUUAGGAAUCUUGCAAAGGUGAAUUCAUUUGUAUUUAUAUGCUAUCUAGGAAUUGAACUAGGCUCUGAUUGAGAAGCUGAAGAUGGAUCUAGGGGCUAUGCAAUUUGUUUUGUUAGUGAUCUAGUCAAUGUGGUUGUUAAACUUGUACUCUUUCUUGUUGGUUCAUCCCAUUCUCCUAGAUUUUGAUGAGAUUAAAACUAACACACAUAAAAAUCUGAUCUUUUUUACUUGUAGAGUUGUAAUUAAAUCAUCUUGAGCAAUAUGAACUUUUCUACUGUUUUAAUAUUUUACAUGCCAAUGCCAUAAUAAGACAUAGAAAGAAAAGGCAUAUACAACCAUAGUAUUAAUUGAUUUUCCACUGUCUUCACAUGGCAUAUAUAGUUAUCAAGUAUUCAAAACAUUGCAGAAAAUGUCUCAAUAGAAUAGAUAGAAAAUGUAGUAUGCCAAUUGUAUUAAAGAACAUAUGAAAUCAAUGGAAGAGUACUAGAAUACAAUCAACUAACCAACAAAUAAUAGUAUCAUCAACUAUUUGGGUAUGGGCAUUGCCCCAUCUCCACACGGACGAAGAGUACUAGAAUACGAAUGAAAAGACACUCUAUCGCCACAUUUAUGUUGACAUAUUUCUUCAGCUCCCCUCUCAAAAUCAUCCCUUAAAUAGUAUCGAUAGACUUUCUCCUUUGUAGCAACAAGCAAAGACUCCCCAUUGACUACCUUGAAGCCAGCUACAUCAUAGGACUUGAUGAUUCCUAUGUCUUGCGUACAAAUUUUCAAUACUUUAGUCCAUGAACUUGAACUAUGAUCGCUUAAUGUCCAUAUGGUGAAAUUUCCUUCUGCUAGUUGAACCAAACAAAUAGAUUCUCCUUUUCCCCACUCGAAUAUACACAUUUGACAAUUUCGAUCAUCCAAACCUCCUCUUGCAUCUUCUGGUAUUUGUAUAAAUUUUUGGGUGCCCUUCUUGAAAUCAUAUGCUAAUAUAUACGGCCAAUAGAAAGGGCUAUCUAGAUCAAAAGAAGGAGAAAAACAAUUCAAUAAUAAGUGAACAUUACCAUUAUAGCAGACAGCAGAUUGAGAGUAUAAUCUUCUAGGACCAAGACAUAUUUCACCAAUCUCUUCCCAAUUCGCUGUUGCUUGUAGUAAGUAGACUUUGCAUGUUGCAUUUGCUGACCAUUCUUCUGGCCUCUUUAUCAUCAUCAAUAGAAAAUCACAUGGAAACUCAGAUGGUUCCUUAAUGCUACAUUGGAAGACUAGGUUGAAGUAUAGGUCGAAAUUUAUUAAACUCAUGGGGACUUUAAUUCGUUUCCAACUUUGUGUUGUUGGGUUGCAAAUAAUCAGUUCAUUUCUCUUUUUAUACCUGCAACAUAGCAACCCAUUGCUUGAAGCUAGCACCCGAGUGGUAGACUUUAAGAAUUUGAUAGAUUGAUUAGGCAACCCAGUUGAUGCUUCUUCACCAGGGUUCGCAUGAAAUUCCAAUUUGUGAUAGCCUCUAGGGGACCAUCUUGGUUGAAUGAAAAAGGCUGAGUCAUUUUUCAACCCCAUGUGUAUGUAUUGUUGCUUGACAAAUAACAUGUCUGAGGGAAAUUCAUUGCAUGCUUUGCAGGUUAACAUGAAUCUGAAAAUGGAUUUUGCAGGUAGCCAGGAGAAUAUUUUAAAAAUUUCAAGAUUUGCAUCAAACUCCUGCAAUUCAAAGUAAAAUUUAAUUAUUAUCCAAGACAUAAAAUAUUGUAAUACAUUUAAACAUAAAUUUAAAAGGCCUAAAGUGUUUACAGCAUAUACUUAAGAAUCCUAGCCAAUUUUGGUCUCUUCCAUUUUGUUGGAAAAGAGGUCUAUUAAUAAAAGAAAGAGUAGAUUGCACUCAAACUCCUGUGCUUUGGUGUCAUACUUCUUGUAGUAUCUUGAGUUUGAAGAAGUUAAAAAUUUUGUAAUGUGGAGACUCAUCUUGAUAUGUGAUUUUGGCUUUUUCUAAGUGUUUCGAGCCCCACUCUAUAUUUGCAUAAAUAUAAAUACCAUUUGAUGACAACAAAGAAACAAAUAUCAAUCUUAAAUUGUAAAUAUAAAAUAUUUAAAGAGUAAGACUAAAUAUACAUACUUACCAAUUGUUGUUGACAAUUUUGUUUCUUUCGACUGUUUGAGCCAUGAUGAUCUUUUUGAGUACCCUCUUCCAGCUUUCUCUCAUCCAUCAUAUCAAUGGAGCUUUCUGCCUAUCAACAAUGGAUAUGUUAAUUUGAAGGAUCUCAUUGCCAAUGUAUAAAUGUUUGGCUAGAAAUUCCAUCCCAUUCUUGAUUGGUUUAUGCUUUAAAAGAUAUUCUUAAUUAGUUUAGAUGUCGUUCUAUCAUGGAAUACCAAUUUCAGAAUGAAACAAUUGUGGGUAAUAUAUUACGCAUAUCCACGGGCCAUGUAAGGGAAUUUUUAAUUGAUUGACAUAUAUUUUGAAAAAUUAAUUAAUUAUUUACACUGAAAAUUUACUUAGAUAUUUAAUUUAUCAAUAAAAUUAGAGUUUUAACAGAAAAUAAUAUAGACAUAGUAGGAAUUUAAAAAGUGAACAUUUUUGGAUAAAUUAACUAAAAUAAAAUUUCAUUUUUUUACCAUACUUUUAAUGAAAAAUCUAGCAAAUACUAUCACAUAAUUUGAAAUAAACAUAACAUACUAAUAUGAUAAUUAGUUAUAAUUAUAAACACAAAUAUUUGUCAUAAUAACAAAACGAUUAUAAUUUAUCAAUAAAAUUGAUGAUCACAAAUAUUUUCUUUUGCAGUUCUUGUAUUAAAACGUCCAAUACAUCCCCGUCCCCCAAAAUCAUUCAAAUAAACGUAAUAUACCUAGGUGACGACAGUCCAAAAAAAUGAAUAAAUGAUUUUAUACUUUUGUAACUAUUUGUAUUUGUAAUUAGGAAACAGUGAUAACUUCUAAAAUUCAAAUUAGAAGAAUUUUUUGGACUAAUUGUAAAAUUUUGGGUGUAAAUAAAAAAUUAGGAAAUUUUUUUUUGAAGAUAAGGGAAGGGAUUAUAACUAUUCGAUAGUCAUAAAUAAAAAAGCUGUAAUUUUUUUAAUCAUCAAAAACAGAAAAAUUAUAAUAUAGGAUUAGCACACAUUAUUGAUUUAAGAGGUAUAAGAAUUGAAAAAAUUGUAACCAAACCAUUGUUCUAAGUGCCAAUGACCAUUUUCUUUGUAUUCUCAUACUGUAUUUUUUCAUUCUCAUACUCUAUAAACAGGUGCCUUACUCUAUUCUAUUGAUUUUAUUGUUUUUAAAAAUAAAAUCUAUUCUACACCCAACACAAUUAGAUUGUUAAUUUUGUAGGUGCAUCCAUUGCAACUUGAAUUUAAAUUUUCAAUUAAAAUAGGAAACCUUAAAACAUUUUGACAGACUCCUUUUCUCAGAUUUGUCAUGAGGGAAAAAAAUAGCUUUUCUUGUAUAUUAAAACACGAAAAUAGAAAUCAGAACUGAAGGGCAUUAAGUAAAUCACUGAAAGUAUGUAUGAAAGUACCAAUGAAUUAAUCGUAGGUCCUCAACUUGUUUCUUGGCAAUCUUCUUGCAAAACAGGGUCGUCAGGACUGGUCGGGCCUGCUUAGAUUGGCUUUCUGACGCUCAAGUUGAUCUGAUUUGGAAUUGAAACCAAAAACUAGGACAGAUGCGUGAUAUCCAGUGAUUGUUCGACAGUAUAUAAGAAUGAACAAUAGUAGAGAGUGUUUUCUGGAUAUUACCUUCAAAGGGAGAAGAGCCCCCCCCCCUCCUUUUAUGGAUGUUAAUUUGCUCGGGUCUUGUGCCGCCCAUGUGUUUGAGUGUACAUGGCAAGUGCGGAUAUGGUGGAUCAAGGAUGGAGAGUGAGGAUACAAUGCAAUUGUGUGUGGUAGGUUUGGAUUUGGCAAGUCUGUGUAUGGUAGGUAUGGAUAUGGCAAGUUUGCAUGUGGUAGCUUUGAAUAUGGCUAGAAGUAUUGAAUGUGCUAAAUCGCCACACGAUAUGUUUACGCGUGAUAUGCACGCAAUGAACAAAGAGAGCUUACUUAGUUGAGUACCACUAGGCCACGUGGGUGGAUCUCCUUAAUUUUGAGUUGCAUUAUGCCUGGUAUUCUAAAGACUAUCGCAAAUUGGAAUUUCUUGUAAAUUCUGGUGAAGAAGCAUUAUUAAGUUGCUUAAUCAGUCUCUCAAAUUCUUAAAAUCUACCACUCGGAUACUAGCCUCAAGCAAUGGGCUAUUAUGUUGCAGGAAUACAAUGAGAAAUGAAAUUAUUUGCUUUUUAACAACUCAAAGCUUGAAACCUAUUAAAGUCCUUGUGAGUUUAAGAAAUUUUGACCUAUGCUUCAACUUAGCUUUCCAAUGUAAAAUUGAGAAUGGUCAGAGAAUGCAACCUGCAAAGUUUACUUAUUCGAAGUAGCAAAGAAUUGGGAAGAAAUUAGGGAAAUAUGUAUUAGUUCUAGAAGACGUACUCUUAAUCUACUGUAUGCCAUAAUGGUAGCGUUCACUUGUUAUUGAAUUGCUUUUGUCUUUCUAUUGAAAAGAGUAAGCUUUUCUAUUGAUUCGAAUAUAUUGUCAUAUGAUUUCAAGAAGGGUACACAAAGAUUUAUAUAAAUACGAGAAGGUGUAAGAGGAGGUCUAGAUGAUCUAACUUGUUAGAUGUGUAUAUUCAAGUGGGGAAAAAGAAAAUCUAUUUGUUUGGUUCCACUAGUGGAAGGUGUUUUCAUUAUAUGGACAUAAAGCGAUUAUAGUUCAAGCUCUUGGACUAGAGUAUUGGAAAUUUGAACAUAAGACAUAGCUAUCAUUGAGUCCUAUGAUUUAGCCAGCUUCAAGGUAGUCAAUUGGGAGUAUUUGCUUGUUGCUACAACAAAGAAAAUCUCUCAAUACUAUUUAAGGGGUGAUUUUAAGAGGAAAGCUAAAGAAAUAUGCCAACAUAAAUGUGGUAAUAAAGUGUUUUUUUAUUCGUUUGCUAGUACUUUUCGUCUAUGUGGGAAUGGAACAAUACUCAUAACCAAAUAAUUGUUAUUCUUAUUAUUUGUUUGUUGGUUGUUUUUGUUUCAAAAUUGACUAUAUAAACUCUUCUAUUCAAAUGUUUCAUAUGUUCCUCACUCACAAUGAAUGCAAUACAGUUGGCACUGCAUGAUUUUCUAUUUGUUUUGUUGAGACAAAAGUGGAAACAUAUAUUUAAAGUUUCCUAAGAAAAUACUUAAUAGCUUCUGUAAUAUUUUGAAUGCUUUAUGUUAACUACAUGUGCUAUGUGAAGAUGGCGCAAAAUCUAUUAAUACCACCACAUGGUAUGCACCUUUUCUUUCUCUAUGUUGUGGCAUUCGCAUACAAAAUAUUAGAAAACUUGUAUGCGAACUGAAUUUAUAAUACCAAAGAUGAUUUUAUUCAUUACUCUAUAUGUUUGUGACUGUGUGGUUAUUUUGAUUGAGGAUAGAGUUGAUCUUGUUGAUAAAAUUGAAUUGUUAUUAGAUGAAGUUAAAAGAUAUCAACCAUAAUGGCUAGUAUGUUUUCAAAUUUGAAAGUACAAUUGCUUAUUUGACAUUUUUUAAAAGUACAAUUGCUUUUUUGAAUGUAUAGGUGCUUAUUUGACCUUUCUUAAGGGACAGUGACCAAAUUAACCUUGAGGCCAAACUAUGGCUUAUUUGGCACUGCAUCCAAAAUUUUGAAAAGACAACAAAAACAAAAGGCUCCAACAAGAGAGAGAUAGAAAGAUGGGGAUAUGUUAGCCAUUCUAAAAAAUUUAACAAGGUUAAGUGUUAAGAAUUUUUAAAAUUGAGUGAAAUUAUUUUUAUUUUCAGAACCUCAAAAGAUAUUGUCUGCUUUUCUUCUCUACUGAAAAGUUUGAGUGAAUUCUUCCCUUGAAAUAAGCUCUUUUGUAUAAACAUUUUAAUAAGGGUAAAUUGCAUAAACAUGUCAUGUGAUUUGACUUAUAUGUGUAGACACACUCUAUACUUUAGGCCAUCUAUUUGAAGCCAAAAUGACAUAGUUUUGGGAUGCCAACAUUAAUUAAGUUUUAUUAAAGUUAAAAAAAAAUAAAAAUUGUUGCCACCUUGAAUCUAUUGGAAAACCCACUGGUGGGUUCUCUAAACCCAUCAUUGGUGGGUCAGGGGAACCAAAGUGAAGAGAGAGAGAAGAAGAAAAAGAAGAAGAAACCGAUCUCCUUGCCAUCAUUGUUGUUGAGAUCCCCUGGCUAAGGGCAGUCAUGCUAACGACAGUCGAGAGUGGAGUGGAGGCCAGCGUUGGUGGCUGCCCAGGACCCCUUCCCUUAUUGCACUGCCACUGUCAACUCCAACUCUUACACUACUUCUACUUACAAACCCAGAACCUCAGCCGCCCUCUCUCUCUCUCUCUCUCCCCCUCUCCGUCCUUUUCCUCUCCCUUUCCUUUACCAAUCCGAUUUCUGCCACUUCCACUUUUCCUUCAGUUUCCUUCCUCUUCUCUUCCUCUGGCAGUGAUGAUUUUGACUGGGAAUGCGUCGACAGAAGCGAAUUCGGAUGGCUUCGUUGCUCUUUCUGUGAUGAUUUUUUUUUUGGCACUGUUCCUUCGGUGGACAAAGUUCAAACCGCAGCCGUUGCUCUUCAGCAGAAUUUUUGGGCUUUCUUCUUGGAGUCAUAUGCCAGUAUAUAUGACCAGCAGAAAGGGCUAUCGCUUGAUAUACAAGGAAGCCAAUCUGAUAUGAGGUGAUACUUAUCAUUAUGGUAAACAGCAGACUGGAAGUCGAAGUAUCUAGCACCAAGAUCUAUCUUUCCAAUCUCUUGCCAAAUCCUUGCUUGGGUGGAAGAUGAAGGUGAAGUGCCUCUCCAAAUGUCUUAGAUUUUCUGGGAGUUAAAUAGGCAGCCAGGAGAGUAUUUCGAAAAUUUCUCCGUUGAACCCCAUUCUAGUCUUCAAGAUGGAAGCAAAAUGUAGUUGACAAGCCUGAAACUGCAACACAAAUGUGACUGAGAAGAUAGAUUUAUGUUGUCUUUUGGUUUUCUAAUCAAAGUGUUCCUGACUACUGAAUGCAAAUAGAGAUGGCAACAAGAAAUGGUCAAUGUUAAUUAAAAUUGUAAAUAUUGAAGUAUCUAAGAAGAAAUCAAAUAUAUGCUGACCUGUUGUUGUUGUUGUC